This is a non-coding RNA of Podarcis lilfordi (Lilford's wall lizard), 4963 nucleotides long. The record is from the annotation of a GenBank genome assembly. NCBI's taxonomy places the organism in Eukaryota, Metazoa, Chordata, Lepidosauria, Squamata, Lacertidae.
AGAGAGUAUUCCUCAAGGUGGGUGCCACCACAGAGAAAGCGCAUCUCCAAGUGCUCAUUAGAUGAAUAUCUGUAGGACGUAGCAUAAUCAAUUCAUCCGAUGACCACAGCGGGUUGGUAUAUCUAUAUGGGGAUUCUGUAAUGUUUACAGCAUGGAUAAGGAACUUGUGGCCCUCCAAAUGUUGUUGGAUUACAGCUCCCAUCUCCCCUGACUAUUAGUCAUUCUGACAUGGGCUCCUUGGAGUUGGGAGUCCAAAAUCUGGAGGGCCAUGGGUUCCCCAUACCAGUCUAAAACAGCUACAAAAUCUCUCCACUGCCACACUGCAAGAGAGAGAGAGAGAGAGAGAGAGAGAGAGAGAGAGAGAGAGAUGGUCCUGGGGGGUUACCAUGCAGCAUGGUCCAAGUCCAGUCCAAGGUCAAGGGUGUGGUAUGGAGUCUGUCCGUCAAGGCUGAAGCAGGGUCCAAGGCAAGGAGUCAGGUGUGGUCAGGAACUCUGGCAGAAGAGCAGGACAGGGUGUCAGGAGGAACAGGCUACCAACAAUGUUGCUCCCGGAACUUGGGACUGGGGCUGGCUGGUUUUUAUCUGCCCCGAGGCAUAGGGUGGUGCCGGUCCACAGGUGACUCGCCUCUCCUGGCCUGGAGGCGAGCACUCUUCCUGCGGGAACUUAGUUCCCUCUGCCUCUCUGCCCUGAGCCUCUGCAGGUCAGGAGAGGCUGGAGGGUUACUGGACCCAGAGGCAACCUCAGUUUCUCCUGAUGGGGCUGAGAGUGGAGCACCUGCAGGCAAUGGGUCCUUGAUCACCUCCGGAGCCAGAGCAGAUUCAGCUGGUGUCUGCUCCUGAGGAUCCGGCACAGGUGAGGGCCCUUCAGGUUCAAGCCCCAACCCCGGCUCAGCUGGUCCUGGAGGCAGGGACUCCUGUGCAGGCUGGGAUUCCUCAGGUUCAGCCUCUGAAUCUGAUUCCCAGGCCAUCACACACACACAGAGAGAGAAGAUCCAAUGAAAGGACAUAGAGGUAAAUGAAAAUAUUUUCAGAUAAGGACUGGUCACGGUAGAGGAGAAAUUCAGUUCAGUGAGGAUUUAAAGCUGAAUCUAUUGUAGUCACGCUUUCUGAAACAAUGUGUGACCUGAAAUACAGGUAUCCUUCAGACUUUUCACUUAGCCGAAUUUUGCGAUGCCUUUUUCCAACCAUACAGUGUUUACAAAAAUGCACACAUUAGGGGGAAGUGUGCAUGAAAGUGAAGAUUUUUUUAUGAAAAUAGCAUGCAAAACUUGAUAAUAAUAGGGGAAAUUGCUUGCAAAAAUGUGUACAUUAGUCAAAACUGCAUAUUAGGUGUAUUUAUGAGGAUAUAUUUCAACUAAAAUGCUUAUAUAUUUUCGUGAUGAUUUAUUUAUUUACAUUUUAUUUUUAUUUUUUUAAAAAACAAGAUAGCAAAUUCCCGCAAAAUAUGAAGAAUGAAAUUUAAGAAUGGAAAAAGGAGAAACUGAGACAACAGAAAUGGACACAUCCUUUCACCCCCAGGGACCAGGUAUUUAGCAUCCACUACCUCACAUUUUAAGGGACGCGGAUGGCGCUGUGGGUUAAACCACAGAGCCUAGGACUUGCCAAUCAGAAGGUCGGUGGUUCGAAUCCCUGCGAUGGUGUGAGCUCCUGUUGCUCGGUCCCUGCUCCUGCCCACCUAGCAGUUUGAAAGCACGUCAAAGUGCAAGUAGAUAAAUAGGUACCGCUCCGGCGGGAAGGUAAACGGCGUUUCCGUGCGCUGCUCUGGUUCUCCAGAAGCGGCUUAGUCAUGCUGGCCACAUGACCCGGAAGCUGUACGCCGGCUCCCUCUGCUUAUAAAACGAGAUGAGCACCGCAACCCCGGAGUCGGCCACGACUGGACCUAAUGGUCAGGGGUCCCUUUACCCUUUUUACCUCACAUUUUACAUCCACACCAUCAGCCUUCCCAUUUUGCAGAAUUAAGAGAUGUCUAAAUGUUUCAGCAAGAUGCGGGUGGCGCUGUGGAUUAAACCACAGAGCCUAGGACUUGCCAAUCAGAAGGUCGGUGGUUCGAAUCCCCACAACAGUGUGAGCUCCCAUCUCUCAGUCCCUGCUCCUGCCAACCUAGCAGUUCGAAAGCACAUCAAAGUGCAAGUAGAUAAAUAGGUACCGCUCCAGCGGGAAGGUAAACGGCGUUUCCAUGCGCUGCUCUGGUUCGCCAGAAGCGGCUUAGUCAUGCUGGCCACAUGACCCGGAAGCUGUACGCCGGCUCUCUCGGCCAAUAAAGCGAGAUAAGCACCACAACCCCAGAGUCGGUCACGACUAGGUCAGGGGUCCCUUUACCUUUAAAUGUUUCAGCAAGACUCUUUAAAGUGUCAACUUUAGCAGAUGAGAGGUGCCAUUUGGGUUCUGCUUCUGGCCAGCACCACCAUAGCAGAAUUCAUCUUAUGCCUCAGUGCCUGCCACAAGCUGUUCUAGCAGUCUUAACAUCUGUUCUAACUUAACAUCUGAGUUCCAACCUUGAUGUUGCAGUUUAUAGCUCUACUUUGUUAUUUAAAUUUAUUUAUAGGCCACCUUGUUCAAAAAAGGUAGGACAAGGGGAGAACAUUCUUUCCCAGCCAAAUGUGAACUCCUACAACAUGGCUGUCUGUUCAGAUUUGGUAAAGGGAUUUGGAACCUUCUGCCCUCCAGAUGUUCUAAAAACUAGUGGAAAAUGUAAUUCGGACAGCGAUUCCACACAUUGAGGAUGGAUUUCUUCAGCAUGGAAGCCUACACAUGAAAGUUUUCCAUGCAAUCUGGAAUCCUGACUGUCAGACGCCUACUUUCAACAAUGAGGAGGGGAAAACAGCAUGAUGUGGGCUGGAGGUAGGGCCAGCCCCAAAUCCCAAUUUGUCGUUACUUGUGUGAAGCCUUCUUCACACAAUUAAUGCACAAAGAAGGCCAUGUCUUCUUGUUUGCUUAGGCCCUGCUCCCCACUGCCUCCUGUGUGGGACCAACUGUUAUCAACAUUCUGUUUCCUAUCAAACAGGAUGUCUUUAUAUAUAUCAAUGUCAUUUUUGUUUUAUUCACCAAGUUGUGUUCUUCUGCAUACUAAGGAAAUCUUUUGCAUAUGUGCUAGGUAAAGGGUAAAGGGACCCCUGACCAUUAGGUCCAAUCGUGGCCGACUCUGGGGUUGCGGCGCUCAUCUCACUUUAUUGGCCGAGGGAGCCGGCAUACAGCUUCCAGGUCAUGUGGCCAGCAUGACUAAGUCGCUUCUGGUGAACCAGAGCAGCACACGGAAAUGCUGUUUAUCUUCCCGCCGGAGCGGUACCUAUUUAUCUACUUGCACUUUGACGUGCUUUCGAACUGCUAGGUUGGCAGGAGCAGGGACCGAGCAACAGGAGCUCACCCCAUCGCAGGGAUUCGAACCACCGACCUUCUGAUCGGCAAGUCCUAGGCUGUGUGGUUUAACCCACAGUGCCACCCGUGUCCCUAUGUUCCGCAUCCCAUAUGUUCCCCUGAACUACUUAUUAAAGGGACAUUUCUCUUCUAUGAUGUUCUAUUCUUUCCCUCACCAGUCCAUCUUCACUGGGGUUUACACUCACUUAGGAUAGGAGUAGAAUCCUGCAGCUGAUCAUAAAAUAUUCUUAUGUAAAAGCAUGUUCCACAGAGUUCAAUAGUACUUACUCUCAAGAAAGUACGCAUAGCAUUACAAUCAUAUGAUAAUUAUCUAAGAGGCUUGAGUCUCUGGCACGGUUUAUAUUACCAAGCUUAACAAAAUCUGUUCUAAUAUUCCAAGUCAUCACAGCAAGCAAACCCUGUGAUUGCAAGGCAAUAUGAUGAUCCCUCCUGAUUGAUCAGGCUUUUUGCUUUGGCCUGGCACGCAGUGCCAGCUACUGAUGCCAUGGGCCUUUCCACUCUAAAUUUGGGUAGUGCGUACCUAUCUUCAGAAUCAUGAACUUUGCUGAACUGAAACAGUUUCUCCUAUCAAUUUAUUUCCGGUGCCUUUCCCCAAGAUGUUUAUGUGCUUUUAAUUUCUCAGACAAUCUGUUACUGCUAUGGAUUCCUCACACAUAUGAGGAAAGUUAUAAUUAAAGCCUAAUAGUAUCAUCUGAGAAAAGUUUUCCCUCUAACUUGGUAGCUAUCUUCAGCAAAGAAAGGGCAAGUCUGAUGGUACCAUGACUGAAUUCCCAUCUGCCACCAUUUCUGAAACAUUUGGCUCCCUAUAGGCUAAAUUUGGGAAAUAGUAACAAAUGCUUUUAAUAUCCAAUUCAGUCUUCUCUUGUCUCUUAAAUGGAGCUGUGAGAAAUGUCAAGAGGAUAAAUGUAAGAAUUAGCAAACAUUUUUACCCUUUUGGAAGCCCUGUGUCUGAUCUUGAAAAUGCAGGCAAAAAAAAAAAAAAAAUUUUUAAAUGCUGCUUUUGUAAGGCAAUCAGCUGCUAAAGUGUUCUGACUUACUAUUUUUGUAGACUUCUAGCAGAUAAUGCUGCCAAAAAAUAAUAUAUCAAAUAUUUCUUAAAAGCAUACCGUUCCCAAGCAGACUCUGUAGUGAUGUUUACAAGCAAACUGACAGACAAUUAAAUAUCAUUGUUUGUGGAAAUAAUUUCACCUGGAGGAAGAUUUGUAACAAGUUUUGUUUUGUUUUUUAAAAAGCGGGUGUCUGAGUGAGAGAGUUUAGUUAAGGAAAAUCUAUUUGCAAUGUACUAAAAAGCAAAUACCAAUAUGAAGAUUAGAUCCUGUACAUAUUGCUCCUGUAAGCUCUGAAAAUAGGAAUCAAUAUUUUCCCCUUUCCUCUACCUUUUAGAUAUAGGAAAGCUGCAAUAUAACCGAAAUCAUUUUCUGACAAGCAAAUCUUUAUUGCAUUACCCACCCUGGAAUAUAUCUAUAGGGGUUUUUUUUCCUGAGCUGGAAACAGUAAUAACCCAGAGAAGAACAUUUCAACUGUGUUAUCCUGUCAUCAACAUUUCAAGAAUCUUUUCUAGAAAAUAAAAUUAUAUUAUUGUUUUGGC